CACCUUCUCCUUCCCCUCGCUCUAUCGUUCCCCUCACUCUCUCCACUCCCGCACACACAAAUCCCUAAUCUCGGCCGAGUCACCCACUCCACUCCCUCCGCUGUCGCCCCCACAGCCGCCACAACCAGCGAACUCGUCUCCCACCGCUGCCCCCUCUCGUCCCCUCCCCUCUGCUCAUCUGACGGCGCUGACCGCGCAGAUCGAGCGACCAGGCGGCGGCCACAUGCGCACACAACCGGCGACCAACAUCACGCAAAGGUCACCACCGCCGUCGCCGAAGGGCGGUCUUCUUCCACCUCGAUGGACGAGCUUGCGCGCCAGGAGAGGAGCGGGGAUCCUGCGCUUCUUCCUCGCUCAGCGCCCCUGUCGCCAUGCCAUGGAUGGACCUCCCUCUGCUCUCACCAAUGCCAUGUACCGAGCUUGCUCUCCUCCUCGAGAUAUUAUCCUCCAAGCUAUAUGAUAUGGACAACACAUGAUUUAUGGAACGAAAAGAGAUCAUGUCAUCCAGAUAAUUAGAUUUCACCGCAUGAUGUUCUUUACCCCAGCCGAGCAUAGUGUGCUGCCGCGCCGUCGAUUUCCACGAAGUGGCCAGCCCGAGCCGAUUCCCCAAUGUGUCAAUGACUACGUCCGCUGCGUGAUCCUGUGGGACAUGACCAAUCCAUUGCCUUAUCAACACAUCGAGGUAACAAAUCCCCUCCUAAUACAGGUGCUUUGGUCGGCUGCUGGCUCUACCACAUAGCCUUCCGUCCACAAUGAGCAGGAGUUAAUAUUAGAAUAUGACCAUCUCUUUCUUAAUGAUGUGUGCCUUGUAUUUCCAUUUUGCUUUCUAAAAAUAUCGAUUCAGGGAACAAAAGUAAAGCAUGAUAAUUAUUAUUUUUGACUUUACAUUACAUAUCUCCAAGGUCCUAUUUUUUGCUUGGUAUGGGUAGUCAUUAUGCUUGGGCUCAUGACCAUGGUUAAUCUAUAGCAUGGUUUAGGGUGACCUAUUUAACAUAAUAGUGCUAUAUGUUUGCAUUUCUUGAACUGUCAGUAGGAACCUAUAUACCGCAAAAUAUUUGUAUGUCCCCUAUGGAAGGUUUUAGACAGUCAAUUGAUUUUGUCCCAUCCGACUAUCAUGCAGUCUGACUUCAGAUGACUAUGU
Long non-coding RNA from Triticum aestivum (bread wheat), 1141 nucleotides. RefSeq lists it as uncharacterized. The record is from RefSeq and is a predicted model, not a curated record. The transcript has 3 exons. Lineage: Eukaryota; Viridiplantae; Streptophyta; Magnoliopsida; Poales; Poaceae.